CAGACGAGGCAGAACCAUCGACAAGAAGGCAUAAAGAUGACAAAAACGAAGAAUCAAGGGACAUGCAAAGGUGAUCCUUGCAUCGCUGGGCAAAAAAAAUUAUGAAAACAUUGAAAGAACGAGACAAAAGAAGCAUACGUUCACAAAAGAUGAGCCACAACCGUCUAUUAGUAAACAAGGAUUUUACAAAAUGAUGGAAAUUGAUGAAGAUCAAUAUCGACGUCCGCCUUUCCGUGGAAAAAGUACAAUGGACGACAUCUCAACCGACUCUAGAAAGUGGAAAACAACUUCGAAUUCGAAGGAUAAUUCGUCGGACAUAAAGCGGAUUGAAAAGAUGAUUUGACAUUAAUCUCCAACAAUCAAGUCAGUGGACAAAAAAACUUAAGAAAAACGCAACAAACAACCAUCAAAAACAUCAACUUCAAAAGCAGCCAAGGACCAUGGUGAAGACGCUUCCAAAGCGGAUGAAGCAAUGAGUAUUGAUGAAUCUUUCGCAACGUGUGUGAAGCAGAGAGAAAAGGAAGCAGAAAAAUAGCAGCUAGGGAGCUCGUGGCCAAAAAGAAAAAGAAACAAACAAGCUAUGCAACGUACAUGUCUCUUCAAAAAGAAAACCGAAAGAAUGUACGAGACUUGCAGAAAAAAAGAUCCGGAAGUGUAUGAACUACUAGACGAAUUCAAGCUUCAAAUGGCCGACGAGAAAAGUGAAGUUGAUCCUGAUCUAUUCAAGAAAUUUCAAGAAAUAAAUAAAAAGAACAAAGUCUUUCCAAGUUAAGAAGAAGAACUCAGGGACUUCAACAAAUUCCACAUUGAAAAUUUGACAACCAUUGAUUGCGUUCACCAAACGAACCUUCUUUUGCAAGCGGCACGAGAGAUGGAUUGUUACGUUUAUAUUUAAUUUUGAAGGAAUGUUUCAUGCCUUAGCCCUAUGGGGACCGUUAUGAAAUUGUUCUUACUUAUUUGACAGAAAAGAGUAUUAAAGGUUAAGAGUAAAUAAAAUAUAAAGAUAUGCAAGAGAAUAUUAGUUUAUUAUAAUAAGAACUCAAAUAUAAAAUUAAAUUAUAAGUAU
This is a long non-coding RNA of Leptopilina boulardi, 1066 nucleotides long. RefSeq lists it as uncharacterized. NCBI's taxonomy places the organism in Eukaryota, Metazoa, Arthropoda, Insecta, Hymenoptera, Figitidae. The transcript is spliced from 4 exons. The record is from RefSeq and is a predicted model, not a curated record.